GAUGAACGCUGGCGGCGUGCCUAAUACAUGCAAGUCGAGCGAACAGACGAGGAGCUUGCUCCUCUGACGUUAGCGGCGGACGGGUGAGUAACACGUGGAUAACCUACCUAUAAGACUGGGAUAACUUCGGGAAACCGGAGCUAAUACCGGAUAAUAUUUUGAACCGCAUGGUUCAAUAGUGAAAGACGGUUUUGCUGUCACUUAUAGAUGGAUCCGCGCUGCAUUAGCUAGUUGGUAAGGUAACGGCUUACCAAGGCAACGAUGCGUAGCCGACCUGAGAGGGUGAUCGGCAACACUGGAAUUGAGAAACGGCCAAAAUCCCUACGGGAGGAAGAAGUAGGGAAUCUCCGGAAAGGGGCGAAAGCUUAAGGGGGAAACGCGGGGUGGGGAAUGAAGGCCUCGGGACGGAAAACUCUUGUAAUAAGGAAAAAAAAAAGGGGAAAGUAAUUAGCAAAGCUUGGAGGGUACAAAAUAAGAAAGCAACGGUUAAUUACGU
Molecule: ribosomal RNA, 496 nt
Filed under: uncultured bacterium
Lineage: Bacteria
Description: partial 16S ribosomal RNA
Rfam family: Bacterial small subunit ribosomal RNA
Source: RNAcentral